AAAACUCAUCGGCUAAAAAGACAAAAGUAGUCAUGGAUAACGAAGUAUCCGACGCUGUGAAACAGGUCGGUGUAGGAAAUUUUGUGCGUAAAGGUAUUGUUGGUGAUUGGAAAUGCACAUUUACCGUAUCUCAGAGUUCAGCAUAUGAUGAAAUAAUAAGGAAUUACCUGAAAGGAACGGGACUAGUAUUUGAGUAUGAAUAGGUAUUAUACAGUUUCGACGGCUAAAGCUCUCUAUCUAGGCAUAAUAAGAUGUUUCAUGUGACAAAUGUGUGUAAACAACUCAUAACAUGGGCAUGAUGAUAUAUCACAUCCAUAUAUGGACAUGAUGAUGUCAUAUCACAUCCAUAUAUGGACAUGAUAAUGCCCUUUCACAUCUAUAUCAUGAUGAUCAUACAACAUCCAUGUAUGGAAAUGAUGUCAUUCAACAUCCAUAUAUGGACAUCAAGAUGUCACGUCACAUCCAUAUAUGGGCAUGAUGAUGUCAUAUCACAUCCAUAUAUGGACAUGAUGAUGUCAUAUCACAUUCAUAUACAGACAUGGUGAUCAUACAACAUCCAUAUAUAAAAAUGAUGUCAUUUAACAUCCAUAUAUCCAUCAUGACAUCCAUAUAUGGGUUGGCGUCUGACGAGGUUUUCAUGAACAAAGGUUCAGGACUACAUAAUGGAGUUGAAAUAUAAUACUGUAUUACAUUUACAGUUAUAGGCCUAUUUUGAAUGUUUUUAAAAUUUAUGUAAAAAUAAGAUAUGUUUUAAAAAAAAAUGAAUGCCAGUAAUUAUAUAAAUAUCACAUUAUAAUUAUGGAGACAAUACUUAAAUUAUUACAUGGAAGUCCACUUGUAUUAGCACCAUUAAUAUCUUUGGAUUUUUAAUGGCCUACAUGGUUUCUUUGGGAUUUUUAGAAGGCAUUUAACUACAGUUCAGACACUAUCGUAGCAGAUUUAGUUAACAGGUAGGAAUAAUUUGUUGUUGCAUCAGAGUCUCCUAAACAUUUCCGUUAAGCUGUGUCUCUUGGAUAAAAACGUCAGCAAAAGCGUUAGUGGAACAGCAAGUGUGUUUGUGAAGUGUGACAAUCACGUUCCUAGAACGGUUCCGAUUGGCCAUAUAUAUUGUUUAUUUCACUUGUGAUUAUAUUAAAGGCCUACUGUGUUAUUGUAAAAAAAUUAUUGCCGAAAUGACAAAUAAAGCUAAAUUUCGAAACUUG
Long non-coding RNA from Anneissia japonica, 1202 nucleotides. RefSeq lists it as uncharacterized. The transcript is spliced from 2 exons. NCBI's taxonomy places the organism in Eukaryota, Metazoa, Echinodermata, Crinoidea, Comatulida, Comatulidae. The record is from RefSeq and is a predicted model, not a curated record.